GACGAACGCUGGCGGCGUGCUUAACACAUGCAAGUCGAACGGAAAGGCCCUGCUUUUGUGGGGUGCUCGAGUGGCGAACGGGUGAGUAACACGUGAGUAACCUGCCCUUGACUUUGGGAUAACUUCAGGAAACUGGGGCUAAUACCGGAUAGGAGCUCCUGCUGCAUGGUGGGGGUUGGAAAGUUUCGGCGGAUGGGGAUGGACUCGCGGCUUAUCAGCUUGUUGGUGGGGUAGUGGAUUACCAAGGCUUUGACGGGUAGCCGGCCGGAGAGGGUGACCGGCCCCAGUGGCACUGAGCUACGGCCCAGACUCCUACGGGAGGCAGAAGUGUGGACUCUUGCCUGAUGGGCGGAAGCCUGAUGCAGCAACGCCGCGUGCGGGAUGACGGCCUUCGGGUUGUAAACCGCUUUCGCCUGUGACGAAGCGUGAGUGACGGUAAUGGGUAAAGAAGCACCGGCUAACUACGUG
RNAcentral lists this ribosomal RNA (468 nucleotides) under uncultured bacterium. RNAcentral's name for it is "partial 16S ribosomal RNA". It matches the Rfam family "Bacterial small subunit ribosomal RNA", at positions 28 to 507 of the family's 1533-position model. The record is from RNAcentral.